GACGAACGCUGGCGGCGUGCUUAACACAUGCAAGUCGAACGGAAAGGCCCUGCUUUUGUGGGGUGCUCGAGUGGCGAACGGGUGAGUAACACGUGAGUAACCUGCCCUUGACUUUGGGAUAACUUCAGGAAACUGGGGCUAAUACCGGAUAGGAGCUCCUGCUGCAUGGUGGGGGUUGGAAAGUUUCGGCGGGUGGGGAUGGACUCGCGGCUUAUCAGCUUGAUGGUGGGGUAGUGGCUUACCAAGGCUUUGACGGGUAGCCGGCCUGAGAGGGUGACCGGCCACCUUAGGACUGAGAUACGGCCCAGACUCCUACGGUGGACAGCAGUGGGGAAUAUGACACAAUGGUCGGAAGCCUGAUGCAGCGGCGCCGCGUGCGUGAUCUCGGCCUUCGGGUUGUAAACCGCUUUCGCCUGUGACGAGGCGUGAGUGACGGUAAUGUAUAAAGAAGCACCGGCUAACUACGUG
This 468-nucleotide ribosomal RNA is filed under the name uncultured bacterium. RNAcentral describes it as "partial 16S ribosomal RNA". It matches the Rfam family "Bacterial small subunit ribosomal RNA", at positions 28 to 507 of the family's 1533-position model. The record is from RNAcentral.